This is a non-coding RNA of Nematostella vectensis (starlet sea anemone), 46 nucleotides long. The record is from Rfam. Lineage: Eukaryota; Metazoa; Cnidaria; Anthozoa; Actiniaria; Edwardsiidae.
ACAACGGCUCUUUUAGGAGCCACCACAUGACCCAAGAGUCAUGACU